AACGAACGCUGGCGGCAUGCCUAACACAUGCAAGUCGAACGAGACCUUCGGGUCUAGUGGCGCACGGGUGCGUAACGCGUGGGAACCUGCCCUUAGGUUCGGAAUAACUCCCCGACAGGGGUGCUAAUACCGGAUAAUGUCUUCGGACCAAAGAUUUAUCGCCUUUGGAUGGGCCCGCGUUGGAUUAGCUAGUUGGUAGGGUAAAAGCCUACCAAGGCGACGAUCCAUAGCUGGUCUGAGAGGAUGAUCAGCCACACUGGGACUGAGACACGGCCCAGACUCCUACGGGAGGGAGCAGUGGGGAAUAUUGGACCAUGGGCGAAAGGCUGAUCCAGCAAUGACGGGUGAGUGAUGAAGGCCUUAGGGUUGUAAAGCUCUUUUACCCGGGAUGAUAAUGACAGUACCGGGAGAAUAAGCCCCGGCUAACUACGUG
Molecule: ribosomal RNA, 433 nt
Filed under: uncultured bacterium
Lineage: Bacteria
Description: partial 16S ribosomal RNA
Rfam family: Bacterial small subunit ribosomal RNA
Source: RNAcentral